Molecule: non-coding RNA, 30 nt
Filed under: Homo sapiens (human)
Lineage: Eukaryota; Metazoa; Chordata; Mammalia; Primates; Hominidae
Source: RNAcentral
UCUGGACCUACCAUGAAAGACUUCUGAAUC